This 790-nucleotide ribosomal RNA is filed under the name Corynebacterium sp. HFH0082. RNAcentral's name for it is "bacterial SSU rRNA". It matches the Rfam family "Bacterial small subunit ribosomal RNA", at positions 60 to 864 of the family's 1533-position model. The record is from RNAcentral. Lineage: Bacteria; Bacillati; Actinomycetota; Actinomycetes; Mycobacteriales; Corynebacteriaceae.
AGUCGACGGUAAGCUCCGCUUGCUGGGGUACACGAGUGGCGAACGGGUGAGUAACACGUGGGUGACCUGCCCUGCACUUCGGGAUAAGCCUGGGAAACUGGGUCUAAUACCGGAUAGGACCGCACCGUGAGGGUGUGGUGGAAAGUUUUUUCGGUGUGGGAUGGGCCCGCGGCCUAUCAGCUUGUUGGUGGGGUAAUGGCCUACCAAGGCGGCGACGGGUAGCCGGCCUGAGAGGGUGGACGGCCACAUUGGGACUGAGACACGGCCCAGACUCCUACGGGAGGCAGCAGUGGGGAAUAUUGCACAAUGGGCGGAAGCCUGAUGCAGCGACGCCGCGUGGGGGAUGACGGCCUUCGGGUUGUAAACUCCUUUCACCAUCGACGAAGGGUUUCUGACGGUAGAUGGAGAAGAAGCACCGGCUAACUACGUGCCAGCAGCCGCGGUAAUACGUAGGGUGCGAGCGUUGUCCGGAAUUACUGGGCGUAAAGAGCUCGUAGGUGGUUUGUCGCGUCGUCUGUGAAAUUCCGGGGCUUAACUCCGGGCGUGCAGGCGAUACGGGCAUAACUUGAGUACUGUAGGGGAGACUGGAAUUCCUGGUGUAGCGGUGAAAUGCGCAGAUAUCAGGAGGAACACCGGUGGCGAAGGCGGGUCUCUGGGCAGUAACUGACGCUGAGGAGCGAAAGCAUGGGGAGCGAACAGGAUUAGAUACCCUGGUAGUCCAUGCCGUAAACGGUGGGCGCUAGGUGUGGGUUUCCUUCCACGGGAUCCGUGCCGUAGCUAACGCAUUAAG